Ictidomys tridecemlineatus (thirteen-lined ground squirrel) is the source of this 69-nucleotide non-coding RNA. NCBI's taxonomy places the organism in Eukaryota, Metazoa, Chordata, Mammalia, Rodentia, Sciuridae. The record is from Rfam.
GGGGUGGUGGCUCAGUGGUAGAGCACACGCCUUGCAUGUGUGAGGCACUGGGUCAAAUUCUCUGCACCA